This 489-nucleotide ribosomal RNA is filed under the name uncultured bacterium. RNAcentral's name for it is "partial 16S ribosomal RNA". It matches the Rfam family "Bacterial small subunit ribosomal RNA", at positions 30 to 507 of the family's 1533-position model. The record is from RNAcentral.
UUGAACGCUGGCGGCAGGCCUAACACAUGCAAGUCGAACGGUAACAGGAAGCAGCUUGCUGCUUUGCUGACGAGUGGCGGACGGGUGAGUAAUGUCUGGGAAACUGCCCGAUGGAGGGGGAUAACUACUGGAAACGGUAGCUAAUACCGCAUAACGUCGCAAGACCAAAGAGGGGGACCUUAGGGCCUCUUGCCAUCGGAUGUGCCCAGAUGGGAUUAGCUAGUAGGUGGGGUAACGGCUCACCUAGGCGACGAUCCCUAGCUGGUCUGAGAGGAUGACCAGCCGCACUGGAACUGAGACACGGUCCAGACUCCUACGGGAGGCAGCAGUGGGGAAUAUUGCACAAUGGGCGCAAGCCUGAUGCAGCCAUGCCGCGUGUAUGAAGAAGGCCUUCGGGUUGUAAAGUACUUUCAGCGGGGAGGAAGGGAGUAAAGUUAAUACCUUUGCUCAUUGACGUUACCCGCAGAAGAAGCACCGGCUAACUCCGUG